UACGAGGGGGGCGAGCGUUGUUCGGAAUUACUGGGCGUAAAGGGCUCGUAGGCGGCCAACUAAGUCAUACGUGAAAUCCCUCGGCUUAACCGGGGAACUGCGUCUGAUACUGGAUGGCUUGAGUUCGGGAGAGGGAUGCGGAAUUCCAGGUGUAGCGGUGAAAUGCGUAGAUAUCUGGAGGAACACCGGUGGCGAAAGCGCUCGACUGGACCUCUUCUGACGCUGAGGCGCGAAAGCUAGGGGAGCAAACAGG
Molecule: ribosomal RNA, 253 nt
Filed under: uncultured bacterium
Lineage: Bacteria
Description: partial 16S ribosomal RNA
Rfam family: Bacterial small subunit ribosomal RNA
Source: RNAcentral